Molecule: ribosomal RNA, 275 nt
Filed under: uncultured bacterium
Lineage: Bacteria
Description: partial 16S ribosomal RNA
Rfam family: Bacterial small subunit ribosomal RNA
Source: RNAcentral
GCGUGAGUGAAGAAGGCCUUAGGGUUGUAAAGCUCUUUCAGCAGGGAAGAUAAUGACGGUACCUGCAUAAGAAGCCCCGGCUAACUCCGUGCCAGCAGCCGCGGUAAUACGGAGGGGGCUAGCGUUGUUCGGAAUUACUGGGCGUAAAGCGCGCGUAGGCGGAUCAGUCAGUCAGAGGUGAAAUCCCGGAGCUCAACUUCGGAACUGCCUUUGAUACUGCUGAUCUCGAGGAUAGGAGAGGAGAGUGGAAUUCCCAGUGUAGAGGUGAAAUUCGU